Molecule: ribosomal RNA, 297 nt
Filed under: uncultured Chlorobiota bacterium
Lineage: Bacteria; Pseudomonadati; Chlorobiota
Description: uncultured Chlorobi bacterium partial 16S ribosomal RNA
Rfam family: Bacterial small subunit ribosomal RNA
Source: RNAcentral
GACGAACGCUGACGGCGUGCCUAACACAUGCAAGUCAAGGGGUACUUCGGUAUCACUGGCGCACGGGUGAGUAACACGUAGGUUAUCUGCCUCUAUCCCUGACAUAACAUCGAGAAAUCGGUACUAAUAGCAGAUGAGGCCGAGAGGUCAAAGAGGCAACUCGGAUAGAGAUGAGCCUGCGUCUGAUUAGCUAGUUGGUAAGGUAAUGGCUUACCAAGGCUACGAUCAGUAGCUGGCCUGAGAGGGUGGCCAGCCACACUGGAACUGAGACACGGUCCAGACUCCUACGGGAGGCUG